CCUACGGGAGGCAGCAGUGGGGAAUAUUGCACAAUGGGGGAAACCCUGAUGCAGCGACGCCGCGUGAGUGAAGAAGUAUUUCGGUAUGUAAAGCUCUAUCAGCAGGGAAGAAAAUGACGGUACCUGAUUAAGAAGCCCCGGCUAACUACGUGCCAGCAGCCGCGGUAAUACGUAGGGGGCAAGCGUUAUCCGGAUUUAUUGGGUUUAAAGGGUGCGUAGGCGGGCUGUUAAGUCAGCGGUAAAAGCCCGGGGCUAAACCCCGGCGAGCCGUUGAAACUGGUUGUCUUGAGAGGUCGAGAGGUAUGCGGAAUGCGCAGUGUAGCGGUGAAAUGCGUAGAUAUUGCGCGGAACACCGAUUGCGAAGGCAGCAUACCGGCGGCGAUCUGACGCUGAGGCACGAAAGCGUGGGUAUCGAACAGGAUUAGAUACCCCUGUAGUC
This 439-nucleotide ribosomal RNA is filed under the name uncultured bacterium. Its description in RNAcentral is "partial 16S ribosomal RNA". It matches the Rfam family "Bacterial small subunit ribosomal RNA", at positions 338 to 795 of the family's 1533-position model. The record is from RNAcentral.